Transfer RNA from Toxocara canis (dog roundworm), 118 nucleotides. It matches the Rfam family "tRNA". From Rfam's summary of the family: Transfer RNA (tRNA) molecules are approximately 80 nucleotides in length. NCBI's taxonomy places the organism in Eukaryota, Metazoa, Nematoda, Chromadorea, Rhabditida, Toxocaridae. The record is from Rfam.
GCACGGAUGGCCGAGUGGUCUAAGGCACCAGACUCAAGCGAUAUGCUUCCUGCAAGAAACGCGGGGUGGGUAUCCUGGUAUGGUGAUCCAUGCGUGGGUUCGAAUCCCAAUUCGUGCA